Haliotis rubra (blacklip abalone) is the source of this 103-nucleotide long non-coding RNA. RefSeq lists it as uncharacterized. Lineage: Eukaryota; Metazoa; Mollusca; Gastropoda; Lepetellida; Haliotidae. The transcript has 3 exons. The record is from RefSeq and is a predicted model, not a curated record.
CAGAUGUUGUCAAAUGGAGUGAUACACAAUCUACAAGGUGAUACAUCAGACAGGUGUUGUCCAGUAGAGUCUGAUACACAAUCUGCAGGGUGAUACAUCAGAC